Oncorhynchus tshawytscha (Chinook salmon) is the source of this 2013-nucleotide long non-coding RNA. NCBI's taxonomy places the organism in Eukaryota, Metazoa, Chordata, Actinopteri, Salmoniformes, Salmonidae. The record is from Ensembl.
UAGUAUAUGACAGUAGUAGGUGAUAGGUGUAGGCAACAGUAGUAGGCGAUAGUUGUAGGCGAUAGUUGUAGGUGAUAGUAGUAGGUGAUAGUAGUAGGUGAUAGUAGUAGGUGAUAGUAGUAGGUGAUAGCAGUAGGUGAUAGUAGUAGGUGAUAGUAGUAGAUGAUAGUAGUAGAUGAUAGUAGUAGGUGAUUGUAGUUGAUGAAUGUAGAAGAUGAUUGUAGUAGGUGAUAGUAGUAGAAGACACUGGUAAAUGACAGAAGUAAGUGAUAGUAGUAGAUGAAAGUUGUAGGUGAUUGUAGCAGGUGAUAGAAGCAGAUGAUAAUUGUAGGUGAUAGUAGUAGGUGAUAGCAGUAGGUGAUUGUAGUAGGUGAUAGUAGUAGAUGAAAGUUGUAGGUGAUUGUAGCAGGUGAUAGAAGCAGAUGAUAAUUGUAGGUGAUAGUAGUAUGUGAUAGUAGUAUGUGAUAGAAGUAGAUGAUAGUAGCAGAUGAUAGAAGUAGAUGAGAGUAGUAGAUGACAGUAGUAGAUGAUAGUAGUAUGUGAUAGUAGUUGGUAAAAUUAGUACACGAUAGCAGUAGAUGAUAGUAAAAUGUGAUAGUAGAAUGUGAUAGUAGUAGGUGAUAGUAGAAGAUGAGAGUAGUAGAUGAUAGAAGUUGGUGAUAGUUGCAGGUCAUAAUAGCAUAUGAUAUUAGUAGGUGAUAGCAGUAGGUGAUAGUAGCAGGUGACAGUAGUAGGUGACAGUUGUAGGUGACAGUAGUAGUUGAUAGUAGUAGGUGAUAGUAUUAGAUGAUAGUAGUAGGUGAUAGUAGUAGCUGAUAGUAGUAGGUGAUAGUAGUAGAUGACAGUAGUAGAUGAUACAUGAUAGCAGUAGGAGAUAGAAGUAGGUAGUAGGAGGUAAUAGUUGUAGGUGACAGUAGUAGUUGAUAGUAGUAGGUGAUAGUAUUAGAUGAUAGUAGUAGGUGAUAGUAGUAGCUGAUAGUAGUAGGUGAUAGUAGUAGAUGACAGUAGUAGAUGAUACAUGAUAGCAGUAGGAGAUAGUAGUAGGUAGUAGUAGGUAAUAGUUGUAGGUGACAGUAGUUGGUGAUAGUUGAAGGUGAAAGUAGUUGUUGAUAGUAGUAGGAUAUAAUAGUUGAUGAUAGUAGUAGGUGAUAUUGUAGCUGUCAGUAGUAGUUGAUAGUUGUAGAUGAUAGUAUGACAUUAUAGUAGUAGGUGAUAGUAGGAGGUAAUAGUAAUAGAUGAUAGUUGCAGGUGAAAACAGUCGGUGAUUGUAGUAGGUGAUAAUAGUAUUUGAUCGUAGUAGGUGAUAGUAGUUUGUGAUUGUAGUAGAUGACAGUAGUAGGUGAUAGUAGUAGUUGAAAAUAGUAUAUGAUAGUGGUAGAUUAUAGUAGUAUAUGAUAGUAUUAGGUGAGAGUAGUUGAUGACAGUAGUAGGAGGCAGUAGCAGAUGACAGUAGAAGGUGACAGUAGUAGAUGGUAGUAGUAGGUGAUAGUAGUUGAUGACAGUAGUAGGAGGCAGUAGCAGAUGACAGUAGAAGGUGACAGUAGUAGAUGACAGCAGUUGGAGAUAUUAGUCAGCGAUAGAUGUAUUAGAUAGUUGUAGGUGAUAGCAGUAGGUUAUAAUAGUAGGUGAUAGAAGUUGUUGAAAAUAGUAGAUUAUAGUAGUAGGUGAUAGGAGUAGAUGACAAUAGUAGAUGAUAGAAGUUGGUGGUAGUUGUAGAUGAUAGUAGUAGAUGAUAUUAGUAGGUGAAAUAGUAUUUGAUAGUAGUAGGUGAUAGUAGUCUGUGAAAGUAGUAGGUAAUAGUAGUAGGUUAUAGUAGCAGGUCAUAAUAGCAGAUGAUAGUAGUAGGUGAUAGCGUAGAUGAUAGUAGCAGGUGACAGUAGUAGGUGACAGUUGUAGGUGACAGUAGUAGGGGAUCGCAGUAGUUGAUAAUAGUAUAUGAUAGUGGUAGAUUGUAGUAGUAUAUGAUAGUAGUAGGUGAUAGUAGUUGAUGACAGUAGUAGGAGGCAGUAGCAG